CGGCGGGGCCCGGAGCCGCUGUGCCCCGUGCCGCCCCACAGGCGCCAGCCGGGAGCUCCGCGCAGGUCCCGGCCCCGCAGGCGCAGCCCGGGAGGGUGAAGGAAGCGGGGAGAGAACGCGGCGUACGGAACGCCGCACCGAGGGGGAUUUCUGAGCCAUAAAAGCGGCCCUGAGAGGAAUGCGGAUCUCCACGGCGAGCAGCAAGAACCACCUCAGGAGAGCGGAGCCAACCCCGGGCCCGAGCAGAGGGCACCCGCAGGCAAAGAGGAGCGCUCGAGACCUUUAAAGCCACCUCAGGGAGCGCUGCUGCGGGGUGCGGGCACAGAGAGCCCCCGGGAGGAGGGCGGUCCUCCAUCCACUCCUUCGGAAGACAUUUCUACGCCGUUAAUGUACCUCUGAAAACAUGCACCUGAGCUAACGGCGAUUCCCGAAACCAUUUCGUGUCAUUCACUGCAAAGAGAUGGCGGUAUUCAUUUCAGACUUUGAGAGCAAAGAAUAAAUUGUGCAGAGCGGGAGAAUCCAGGAGCAGAGAAACUGAGUUCAUGCAAAAAUGAGAGCACACAGCAGAUCACAUCCGAGUGAGCUGACCCUUACAGCAGAAACAAACCGGGUACGUGACAGGAGGUGAAGCUCGCGUUGUAAGCGAUGUCCCUGGAGAUUGUGCACCACCGGGGAGAGGGCCGAGUCCGGCACGUGGAGCUCCCUCAAGCAAAGUGAGCAUCAGCACGGGCAGUUUGCUGCGGAGAGCUGCAUGGAAUCUGAGCAGCGAUGGAACUCAGGACAUCACUCGACCUUUCGGGCCGUCAACUGCAGCAGAAAUAAAAUAAACAUUUCCCAACGUGAGCAACUUCUGAGCCCUCUACCAUCACAUCUGCCUUCCUGAGCUGCAAGACAGUAACUUUCUGCAACUCUACAACACACUGCCUGACCUCAUCAACUGCAGAAGGAUAAAAUGGAAGUAAACUGAAAAUAUACUUGGAAACAUUUUUGGUAACCACUUUUUUCUGGUUAGAUUUCACGCAGACGUCGGGUUUCAGAAACAGAAGCAAACAAACACCAGUAAGAUUUCUGAGAUAGCCACACAUUGCAAUCCCAGUCAAA
This 1101-nucleotide long non-coding RNA is filed under the name Gallus gallus (chicken). RNAcentral's name for it is "long non-coding RNA NONGGAT005668". Lineage: Eukaryota; Metazoa; Chordata; Aves; Galliformes; Phasianidae. The record is from RNAcentral.